GAAAUACCCUGCUCUCCUAUUCAAGCAACACCUAACUGCAUGUGUUGAGAAGAUUUACGGCAUGAUCCGAGAUAGUCUGAAGAAGGAGAUUAGUCCAUUCUUAACUAUGUGCAUACAAGCACCAAGAUCUACAAGAGCGAGAUCAGUUCGGGGAUCGUCUAAGAGCAUUCACUCCAACAUAGUAGCAAAGCAAGCAUCAAGCAUGCAUUGGCAAAGCAUAGUCAAGAGCUUGGAUCGAACUUUCGAGAUAUUGCAUGAUAAUUACGUACCUUCAAUUAU
Molecule: long non-coding RNA, 279 nt
Organism: Ananas comosus (pineapple)
Lineage: Eukaryota; Viridiplantae; Streptophyta; Magnoliopsida; Poales; Bromeliaceae
Exons: 3
Source: RefSeq, a predicted model, not a curated record